AUUGAACGCUGGCGGCAGGCCUAACACAUGCAAGUCGAACGGUAACAGGAAGAAGCUUGCUUCUUUGCUGACGAGUGGCGGACGGGUGAGUAAUGUCUGGGAAACUGCCUGAUGGAGGGGGAUAACUACUGGAAACGGUAGCUAAUACCGCAUAACGUCGCAAGACCAAAAAGGGGGACCUUCGGGCCUCUUGCCAUCGGAUGUGCCCAGAUGGGAUUAGCUAGUAGGUGGGGUAACGGCUCACCUAGGCGACGAUCCCUAGCUGGUCUGAGAGGAUGACCAGCCACACUGGAACUAAGACACGGUCCAGACUCCUACGGGAGGCAGCAGUGGGGAAUAUUGCACAAUGGGCGCAAGCCUGAUGCAGCCAUGCCGCGUGUAUGAAGAAGGCCUUCGGGUUGUAAAGUACUUUCAGCGGGGAGGAAGGGAGUAAAGUUAAUACCUUUGCUCAUUGACGUUACCCGCAGAAGAAGCACCGGCUAACUCCGUG
RNAcentral lists this ribosomal RNA (490 nucleotides) under uncultured bacterium. RNAcentral's name for it is "partial 16S ribosomal RNA". It matches the Rfam family "Bacterial small subunit ribosomal RNA", at positions 30 to 507 of the family's 1533-position model. The record is from RNAcentral.